UACGUAGGAUCCAAGCGUUAUCCGGAUUUACUGGGUGUAAAGGGCGAGUAGACGGCGUGUCAAGUCAGAGGUGAAAUCUUACCGCUCAACCUUAAAACUGCCUCUGAAACUGUUAUGCUAGAGUGCAGAAGAGGUAAGUGGAAUUCCUAUGGUAGCGGUGAAAUGCGUAGAUAUUAAGAGGAACACCAGUGUCGAAGGCGACUUACUGGGCUGUAACUGACGUUGAGGUGCGAAAGUGUGGGGAGCAAACAGGAUUAGAUACCCUGGUAGUCCACACCGGAAACGAUGGAUACUAGGUGGACGGACAAACGUAUCUGUGCCGUGCACUAACGCAAUAAGUAUCCCACCUGGGGAGUACGACCGCAAGGGUGAAACUCAAAGGAAUUGACGGGGGCCCGCACAAGCAGUGGAAUAUGUGGUGUAUAUUCGACGCAGGCGCGAAGAACCUUACCAAGACUUGACAUCUUCAUGAAAGUAUAUGAAAUUAGAUCCUCCUUCGGGACAUGUAUACAGGUGAUGCUCGUUAGUUGUCAGCUCGUGUCGUGAGAUGUUGGGUUAAGUCGCGCACCGAGCGCAACCCUCGUGAUUAGUUGCUCCCAAGCAGAACUCUAAUCAGACUGCCGUAGUUAAUUCGGAGGAAGGUGAGGAUGACGUCAAAUCAUCAUGUCCCUUAUGUCCUGGGCUACACACGUGUUACAAUGACUGGUACAAAGAGGAGCAAUCCCGCGAGGUGGAGCAAAUCUGAAAAAAGUAGUCCUAGUUCGGAUUGGAGGCUGAAACUCGCUUCCAGGAAGCUGGAAUUGUUAGUAAUCACAGUUCAGCAUGCUGUGGUGAAUACGUUCCCGGGCCU
This 850-nucleotide ribosomal RNA is filed under the name uncultured bacterium. RNAcentral's name for it is "SSU rRNA". It matches the Rfam family "Bacterial small subunit ribosomal RNA", at positions 524 to 1381 of the family's 1533-position model. The record is from RNAcentral.